Molecule: ribosomal RNA, 255 nt
Filed under: uncultured bacterium
Lineage: Bacteria
Description: partial 16S ribosomal RNA
Rfam family: Bacterial small subunit ribosomal RNA
Source: RNAcentral
UACGUAGGGUGCGAGCGUUGUCCGGAAUUAUUGGGCGUAAAGAGCUCGUAGGCGGUGUGUCACGUCGGCCGUGAAAACCUGCAGCUUAACUGUGGGCGUGCGGUCGAUACGGGCAUCACUGGAGUUCGGCAGGGGAGACUGGAAUUCCUGGUGUAGCGGUGAAAUGCGCAGAUAUCAGGAGGAACACCGGUGGCGAAGGCGGGUCUCUGGGCCGACACUGACGCUGACAGCGCGAAAGCCAGGGGAGCAAACGGG